ACUUCGGACCCACGCGAUUACAACGCCCUAACUUUGUCAGGACGGAAGUAGCAGCAAUACGGGAUGCUUGUGAUAGGCGUGGUAUCCGGGUCUUU
RNAcentral lists this signal recognition particle RNA (95 nucleotides) under Candidatus Altimarinota bacterium. RNAcentral describes it as "signal recognition particle sRNA small type". It matches the Rfam family "Bacterial small signal recognition particle RNA". From Rfam's summary of the family: The signal recognition particle (SRP) is a universally conserved ribonucleoprotein involved in the co-translational targeting of proteins to membranes. Archaeal SRP consists of a 7S RNA and homologues of the eukaryotic SRP19 and SRP54 proteins. Lineage: Bacteria; Candidatus Altimarinota. RNAcentral also lists the same sequence under 2 other names. The record is from RNAcentral.